UGUUGCCUCGGCCGGGUAGCUCUUGCCCCGGGCGCGUCGCAGCCCCGGAUCCCAUGGCGCCCGCCGGAGGACCAACUCCAAACUCUUUUUUUCUCUCCGUCGCGGCUCCCGUCGCGGCUCUGUUUUAUUUUUGCUCUGAGCCUUUCUCGGCGACCCUAGCGGGCGUCUCGAAAAUGAAUCAAAACUUUCAACAACGGAUCUCUUGGUUCUGGCAUCGAUGAAGAACGCAGCGAAAUGCGAUAAGUAAUGUGAAUUGCAGAAUUCAGUGAAUCAUCGAAUCUUUGAACGCACAUUGCGCCCGCCAGUAUUCUGGCGGGCAUGCCUGUCCGAGCGUCAUUUCAACCCUCGAACCCCUCCGGGGGGUCGGCGUUGGGGAUCGGCCCCUCACCGGGCCGCCCCCGAAAUACAGUGGCGGUCUCGCCGCAGCCUCUCCUGCGCAGUAGUUUGCACACUCGCACCGGGAGCGCGGCGCGGCCACAGCCGUAAAACACCCCAAA
RNAcentral lists this ribosomal RNA (497 nucleotides) under Trichoderma longibrachiatum. RNAcentral describes it as "eukaryotic LSU rRNA". The stretch from base 183 to 336 matches the Rfam family "5.8S ribosomal RNA". Lineage: Eukaryota; Fungi; Ascomycota; Sordariomycetes; Hypocreales; Hypocreaceae. The record is from RNAcentral.